CGAUGUGAUGAUGAUGGGCAUGUGUUCAACUGCUCCGAGCAGGCUGAGUGAAACGGCCUUUCUGAACGUCU
Small nucleolar RNA from Talpa occidentalis (Iberian mole), 71 nucleotides. RefSeq annotates it as small nucleolar RNA Z40. The record is from RefSeq and is a predicted model, not a curated record. NCBI's taxonomy places the organism in Eukaryota, Metazoa, Chordata, Mammalia, Eulipotyphla, Talpidae. The transcript has a single exon.